UACUCCCGCCGGCGACCGGCGCACGGGUGAGUAACACGUAUGAAACCUGCCCGUAGCAGGGGGAUAAGCGGAAGAAAUUCCGUCUAAUACCGCGUAACAACCCGAGGAGGCAUCUCCUCGGGGUUUAAAGGAAGCGAUUCCGGCUACGGAUGGUCAUGCGUCGCAUUAGCUAGUUGGCGGGGUAACGGCCCACCAAGGCGACGAUGCGUAGGGGUUCUGAGAGGAAGGUCCCCCACACUGGUACUGAGACACGGACCAGACUCCUACGGGAGGCAGCAG
This 279-nucleotide ribosomal RNA is filed under the name uncultured bacterium. RNAcentral describes it as "partial 16S ribosomal RNA". It matches the Rfam family "Bacterial small subunit ribosomal RNA", at positions 80 to 354 of the family's 1533-position model. The record is from RNAcentral.